UAGGCUGUAUAUUUUUCAUCUUAGAAAAUGCCAUCCUAAUCACGAAGCAGGACUUCUGUGCCAGUUUAGGAAAUGCACAGCUAAACUUCACGAUCUCAGAUCUCUGGAAUCUCACAUUAGAAAUCAUUCCCAUCGAUCUCAAGCCG
Molecule: long non-coding RNA, 146 nt
Organism: Eurytemora carolleeae
Lineage: Eukaryota; Metazoa; Arthropoda; Copepoda; Calanoida; Temoridae
Exons: 3
Source: RefSeq, a predicted model, not a curated record